UUAUAAUUGAAAACCCUAAAAAUCGAGAGCCCGAUCCCAAAUCUCAUCAUCGCAGGUAAAAAAAUCCCUCAUCCUCAUCGCGCCGACCCUCCGGAGCCAUGAGCAGCCGCGCCAGCAGAACACUUUACGUCGGAAACCUCCCCGGUGACAUACGCGAGAGAGAGGUCGAGGAUUUGUUCUACAAGUAUGGACGCAUAGCUCAUAUCGACCUUAAGGUUCCCCCUAGGCCUCCUGGCUAUGCUUUUGUUGAGUUUGAAGAUGCUCGCGAUGCCGAAGACGCAAUCCGCGGCCGUGACGGCUAUGAUUUUGAUGGCCAUCGUCUGAGGGUUGAGCUUGCGCACGGCGGGCGUGGAAAUUCUUCAGGUGGAGAUCGUCACCGAGAUGGCGGCGGUGGCGGCGGUGGUGGUCGAGGCGGACGUGGAAUGUCCAGGCGCUCUGAAUUUCGUGUGAUGGUGACUGGACUACCGUCUUCGGCUUCGUGGCAAGAUCUUAAGGAUCACAUGCGACGGGCUGGGGAUGUCUGUUUCUCCCAAGUUUUCCGUGAUGGCAGUGGCACAACAGGAGUAGUGGACUACACUAACCUGGAAGACAUGAAGUAUGCAGUAAAGAAGCUUGAUGGCUCUGAUUUCAGGAAUGCCUUUUCCCGUUCUUCUGUUCGGGUGCGGGAAUAUGAUGCGAAGCGGGACUCGUCUAUGAGCCCCAGCCGUGGUCGAUCUCCGGGAAGAGGUAGAAGCUACAGUCGUAGUCGUAGUAGAAGUUACAGCCGGAGCAGAAGCAGGAGCAAGUCUCCUAAACCCAAAUCUUCUCGCCGCUCCCCUGGUAGAUCAAGGUCCGGGUCUCCACCCCGCUCACGAUCAAAAUCUCGCUCUCCAUUGGGAUAUGGAUAAUUGCGGCAAACUGGGGAAUGGAUAUUAGGAUCUUGUUGGAUAUGGUGAAUUGCAUACAACUUUUUCUGUGGAGGUAUGCUGUUAUCUAGAUAGGCAGCUUUGUAAACCUUCAUGGUGCCGUUGUUCUAAUGCUUUUAGCAUUGUAACUGUCCCUGGGUGCUAGAUUGGGAACUAUGGAGGUCUUGGAUUGCAAUAAUAAAGCUGGAUAUCUGUGAACUUAGUGCCAUUGGAUGUGGAAGUCAUCAACAAUGAGCAGUAGAGACAAUUUGAUUUUCAUUUCCUGCUCCAACAUUUUUGCCAAGCUUAUAGGGUGCACUAUCUGGAUUCUGCGCAUUCUUGUGUCACAGUAGGGAAGAAUGCUCCUCUUCUUUCUACUGGUGUCUUAAAAAUAUCUUCUUUAGAAUUUGCCAAUAUUUUGUUUCUGAGUUUGUGUCUUUUUUGGUGGGGAAGAUUUCGGUUGAAUUGCCAAAUGUUUAUUCUUUUUUCUUGCAUCCUUGUUGGAUAUGCAACUCUCUCGCAUGGAAGAGGCAUCAAGGACCUUGGAUCAAAUUGGUAAAGAAAUAUGGUAUUAAAUUGAGUUGUUUCUGGAACUUUUGCAGAUCACGAUCAAGAAGCAGAUCUCCCUUGCCUUCAAAGCGCAUAAGUAAAAGCCCAAAGGAAGAUGCAAGCAAAAGUCCUAAGAAGCGCAGUGGCAGCCGAAGUCCAAGCCGCAGCAGGAGCAGGAGCAGGAGCAGGAGUUUGUCACG
This is an RNA transcript of Argentina anserina (silverweed cinquefoil), 1633 nucleotides long. It is a transcript of the gene named serine/arginine-rich-splicing factor SR34-like, with no coding region annotated. NCBI's taxonomy places the organism in Eukaryota, Viridiplantae, Streptophyta, Magnoliopsida, Rosales, Rosaceae. The record is from RefSeq and is a predicted model, not a curated record. The transcript has 11 exons.